CAGCCCGUCAGAUUUUGGCUUCGCGAAACCAAGCAAAAUAAGCACCUUAUCUCCCGCCAUCUUGGCGUUGGCCAAGCCUGUCAAACCAGGGGUUUGAGUAGGGAUCUGGGAUCCAACAGGGCAAAAAAGUAGCUCUUCAGUGAUUCUUUGCUGCCUCUAGAGUGGCCGCUGGGACCAAUGAAUUACACAUUUGGUUUGGUUUGGUUUGGUUCCAGUCCAUUUCUUGGUGUGAUUUCCAGUGGGACCAUGAUUAGAAUGGGAGUGUAAAGUGACUAGAAUUAUUAAAACAUGAGUGAAAUGGGAC
RNAcentral lists this small RNA (304 nucleotides) under Histoplasma ohiense. Its description in RNAcentral is "hypothetical lncRNA". The record is from RNAcentral. Lineage: Eukaryota; Fungi; Ascomycota; Eurotiomycetes; Onygenales; Ajellomycetaceae.